Molecule: long non-coding RNA, 644 nt
Filed under: Homo sapiens (human)
Lineage: Eukaryota; Metazoa; Chordata; Mammalia; Primates; Hominidae
Description: HSALNT0156388
Source: RNAcentral
ACAGCAUCACCUUGGCAGCUGAUGGGCGGGAGGACAGGUCCAGGCGGCCUCCAGGCACGUUCCUGUUUGUGUGACAUUCACCGUGACAUGGUGCAUGCCGUGGCACACAGGGUCCUGUGUUCAGAUAAGCCAGGGCCUCGGAGGAACUCAGGCGGAGGAAAGAGCCGGAACACAAACACAGCGCGACCUUUCCCGGGAAGCGGCCCCUCCAGGAAUGCGCCCUGGGCCCCCCUGCCAAGCCCUGGGCCUCCAUGGCCAAGUACCCCUCACUUCCACCAUCCGCGACUCGGUUCACUCCAGUUGAGCCCCAAGAGCCUCUGCUGAGCCCAACCCGGAAGGGCGAGGGAGCCUCGGUGGCCAGAGAGGGCCGAGGCCUGUUGGGAUGACUGCACUCCUUCAGGACAGGCACCCUCUGUGACGGGGACAUGCAGGGACCACUGCGGCUGCCCUGGCCCAAGACGCCCUGGAGGCCAGGCGGGCAGGGCCCCUUCAUCCUUCAGGAGGUGGGACUGGGCUGGGUUUUGAAGGAUGGCAGCGUCCAGGUAGACUGAGGGCACAGACAGGGAAGGCCACACAGGCCUAAAAGCACACAGACUUAGGCGGGCGGGAAAUGUGAGGUCAAAUCCUGGAGCCCUCGGAGGGGG